This 67-nucleotide transfer RNA is filed under the name Dendronotus frondosus (frond-aeolis). RNAcentral describes it as "tRNA-Met". It matches the Rfam family "tRNA". Rfam says of the family: Transfer RNA (tRNA) molecules are approximately 80 nucleotides in length. Their secondary structure includes four short double-helical elements and three loops (D, anti-codon, and T loops). Lineage: Eukaryota; Metazoa; Mollusca; Gastropoda; Nudibranchia; Dendronotidae. The record is from RNAcentral.
GAAUAGGUAAGCUAAAAUUUAAAGCUAUUGGGCUCAUAACCCAACAAUGGAGUUAAUCCCUUAUUCA